GCCUGGGUGGCUUAGUUAGUUAAGCGUCCGACUUCAGCUCAGGUCAUGAUCUGACAGUCCGUGGGUUCAAGCCCCACAUCAGGCU
Molecule: transfer RNA, 85 nt
Filed under: Felis catus (domestic cat)
Lineage: Eukaryota; Metazoa; Chordata; Mammalia; Carnivora; Felidae
Rfam family: tRNA
About the family: Transfer RNA (tRNA) molecules are approximately 80 nucleotides in length. Their secondary structure includes four short double-helical elements and three loops (D, anti-codon, and T loops). Further hydrogen bonds mediate the characteristic L-shaped molecular structure. tRNAs have two regions of fundamental functional importance: the anti-codon, which is responsible for specific mRNA codon recognition, and the 3' end, to which the tRNAs corresponding amino acid is attached (by aminoacyl-tRNA synthetases). tRNAs cope with the degeneracy of the genetic code in two manners: having more than one tRNA (with a specific anti-codon) for a particular amino acid; and 'wobble' base-pairing, i.e. permitting non-standard base-pairing at the 3rd anti-codon position.
Source: Rfam by way of RNAcentral